AUUGAACGCUGGCGGAAUGCUUUACACAUGCAAGUCGAGCGGCAGCGCGGCCUUCGGGCUGGCGGCGAGCGGCGAACGGGUGAGUAAUGCAUCGGAACAUGCCCAGUCGUGGGGGAUAACACUUCGAAAGAAGUGCUAAUACCGCAUACGUCCUGAGGGGGAAAGCGGGGGUUGCAAAGCCCCGGCCGGUUGGAAGGGCCGAUGUCAGAUUAGCUAGUUGGUGGGGUAAAGGCCUACCAAGGCGACGAUCUGUAGCUGGUCUGAGAGGAUGAUCAGCCACACUGGGACUGAGACACGGCCCAGACUCCUACGGGAGGCAGCAGUGGGGAAUUUUGGACAAUGGGGGCAACCCUGAUCCAGCCAUUCCGCGUGAGUGAAGAAGGCCUUCGGGUUGUAAAGCUCUUUCGGCAGGAACGAAACGGUGGGCUCUAACAUAGUCCGCUAAUGACGGUACCUGAAGAAGAAGCACCGGCUAACUACGUG
This 483-nucleotide ribosomal RNA is filed under the name uncultured bacterium. RNAcentral's name for it is "partial 16S ribosomal RNA". It matches the Rfam family "Bacterial small subunit ribosomal RNA", at positions 29 to 507 of the family's 1533-position model. The record is from RNAcentral.